This 1021-nucleotide long non-coding RNA is filed under the name Macaca fascicularis (crab-eating macaque). Its description in RNAcentral is "lncRNA (ENSMFAG00000064271.1)". The record is from RNAcentral. Lineage: Eukaryota; Metazoa; Chordata; Mammalia; Primates; Cercopithecidae.
AUGGUCAUACGUUAUUGCUGGCCAAAAGCCGCAACCCUACCUGAGGCUUUGAGAAAUGUGAACACCAAUGACUUUUGUUUUCCUGACUCCCGAAAUACCAAGAAAAAGCAACUUCCCCAAAUGGACAGAAACAGAAAGUACCCUUGGUUGAACGCAGAGGCCUGGUUCCAGCCAUCGUUAGAAGUGGGAAGGAACUCAGACCCCCUCUCCUACCUCAUCCCCCACCCCUCCCCAACACGUCACCCUUUCACAGAGAAGGAACCAGAGACACCAAGGACUGAGAGAGGACUUGAUAAGGAUUCUAGUGUCCUGUCUCCCCUGUCCGCACCUUUUCCACCACAAAAAUAUGGACAUUGGAGGAAGAGGAGAAGACUGAAGGUACACACCGUGCAAAGGAAGAAAAUGGCAGAACUGUUCUGGAACCAGGAAUUCAGGAGCAAGAAUGACACAGUGUGUGCCAGAUGGAAAUGUUGGAUUAGGAGAGCACUUGGAAAGGUGGGAGCAUGCAGCAGUGAAACCUGAGUUCUUUCUGUUCAUGUGAGCUAAUCUUCCCGCUGGCUGGAAGACACUUCAUUUAUACAAACAGCGAUUACUGUAAAAGUGUAUUCAUGUUGUUCAUCACAUGAAUAGGACAUGGGGAGAAAAGCUUUGUAAUUAUCCUGAUAAGAGGCCACCUAAUGCAAAUUCUCUGUGGUUAGGAAUAAAAGGAGACUUUGUCAACAUGAUAAAUGACAUCUAUCUCAAUCCAGCAGACUAUGUGAUAGCUAAUGAUGACUUGAAACAAAGGGACAAACUACGGUCCUUAAUAACAGAAGAAUUCCUAUAAAACAAGGGUGCUCGCAACUUGAAUAGUUUCAACAAUAUUGUGAAAUUCAAAGCAAGAAGAAAGAGAGUCAGAAAUUUGGGAAGCAAAAGUCAAGUUUGUCAUUAUUUGUAAGUGAUAUGAUUGUCUACCUGAGAAACCCUAGAUAAUGGACUGAGACAUAUCUGGAACUAACAAGAGAGUUCAAUAAAGUAGCUG